Molecule: ribosomal RNA, 473 nt
Filed under: uncultured bacterium
Lineage: Bacteria
Description: bacterial SSU rRNA
Rfam family: Bacterial small subunit ribosomal RNA
Source: RNAcentral
UACCGCAUACGAUCUAAGGAUGAAAGAGGGGGAUUCUCAGAACCUCAUGCUCCUGGAGCGUCUGAUAUUUGAUGGCUAGUUGGCGCGGCACAAGUCUACCAAGGGAUCGAUGAUUAGCUGGACUGACAGGACGACCAGCCACACUGCCACUGACACACCGCUACCACUCCUACCGGAGGCAAGUGUGGGGAAUUGACUCCAAUGGCCCAACCAUGGUCCGGGAAUGCCACGUGACCGAAGAAUUGCAUCCGGUUUUAAACCUCUUUUGUCAGGGACCAAACGGUGAGAGCUGAAUUUCACGCUAAUGACGGUACCUGAAGAAUUUGCACCGGCUAACUACUUGCCGGCAGCCGCGGUAAUACGUAUGGUGUAAGCGUUAAUCGGAAUAACUGGGCGUAAAGAGUGCGCAGGCGGUUUUGUAAAACUGUCGGGAAAUCCCCAGUUCUCAACCUGUGAAUGGUUGAUGGUGACUG